Molecule: ribosomal RNA, 562 nt
Filed under: uncultured bacterium
Lineage: Bacteria
Description: bacterial SSU rRNA
Rfam family: Bacterial small subunit ribosomal RNA
Source: RNAcentral
GUGGCGAACGGGUGAGUAACACGUAGGCGACCUGCCCCGAAGAGGGGGAUAACCGCUGGAAACGGCGGCUAAUACCCCAUGUGGUCGUGAGGGUUAGAGGCCUCAUGAUUAAAGCUCCGGCACUUCGGGAGGGGCCUGCGGCCUAUCAGCUAGUUGGUGGGGUAAUGGCCCACCAAGGCAAUGACGGGUAGCUGGUCUGAGAGGACGAUCAGCCACACGGGCACCGAGACACGGGCCCGACUCCUACGGGAGGCAGCAGUGAGGGAUAUUGCGCAAUGGGCGAAAGCCUGACGCAGCAACGCCGCGUGGGCGGUGAAGGCCUUCGGGUUGUAAAGCCCUUUUCUGGGGGAAGAGGAAGGACGGUACCCCAGGCAUAAGUCCCGGCUAACUACGUGCCAGCAGCCGCGGUAAAACGUAGGGGACGAGUGUUAUCCGGAUUCAUUGGGCGUAAAGCGCGUGCAGGUGGUGCUUUAAGUUGGGCGUGAAAUCUCCUGGCUUAACCGGGAGGGGUCGUUCAAUACUGAAGCACUUGAGGACAGGAGAGGAAAGUGGAAUUCCCGGU